This 496-nucleotide ribosomal RNA is filed under the name uncultured bacterium. RNAcentral's name for it is "partial 16S ribosomal RNA". It matches the Rfam family "Bacterial small subunit ribosomal RNA", at positions 28 to 506 of the family's 1533-position model. The record is from RNAcentral.
GAUGAACGCUGGCGGCGUGCCUAAUACAUGCAAGUCGAGCGAACAGACGAGGAGCUUGCUCCUCUGACGUUAGCGGCGGACGGGUGAGUAACACGUGGAUAACCUACCUAUAAGACUGGGAUAACUUCGGGAAACCGGAGCUAAUACCGGAUAAUAUAUUGAACCGCAUGGUUCAAUAGUGAAAGACGGUUUUGCUGUCACUUAUAGAUGGAUCCGCGCCGCAUUAGCUAGUUGGUAAGGUAACGGCUUACCAAGGCAACGAUGCGUAGCCGACCUGAGAGGGUGAUCGGCCACACUGGAACUGAGACACGGUCCAGACUCCUACGGGAGGCAGCAGUAGGGAAUCUUCCGCAAUGGGCGAAAGCUUGACGGAGCAACGCCGCGUGAGUGAUGAAGGUCUUCGGAUCGUAAAACUCUGUUAUUAGGGAAGUACAAAUGUGUAAGUAACUAUGCACGUCUUGACGGUACCUAAUCAGAAAGCCACGGCUAACUACGU